UAGGGCUACAGCUCAGUGGUAGAGCAAAUGUUUUGCAUGCAUUAGGUCCUAGAUGCAAUCCCUAGAAUCUUAA
Non-coding RNA from Podarcis lilfordi (Lilford's wall lizard), 73 nucleotides. The record is from the annotation of a GenBank genome assembly. NCBI's taxonomy places the organism in Eukaryota, Metazoa, Chordata, Lepidosauria, Squamata, Lacertidae.